This is a long non-coding RNA of Onychostruthus taczanowskii (white-rumped snowfinch), 4397 nucleotides long. RefSeq lists it as uncharacterized. The transcript is spliced from 3 exons. The record is from RefSeq and is a predicted model, not a curated record. Lineage: Eukaryota; Metazoa; Chordata; Aves; Passeriformes; Passeridae.
AGCAAAUGGUUCUUUCCCCUCCAUGUAUUUUUAUUUUUGAGUGUCAGAUGUGGAAAACCCAACAGGAUGAUCACUCAGCAUGUACCUUGUGUCUGCUGCCUGCUGGGAAGUCACAGCAGAAAUGACAAAUGAGAGAGGGAGGAAUUCAGAAAACACCAAAUGGCUCAAAAGGCAGCGGGGCAAAGCAAGUCCAACCCUUGCUGUGGUUUUGCUGGUCUUGAUAGAGCUGCAAAACCAAGAGACAAAUACUCAGAUGUUCCACUGGUUUGUCAGCAGGCAAUUGGUAAAAAUCUUUUAGCACUUUUCCUUGAAGAAUGAUGAUUUUUCUUUUUCUUGCCACAGAACUCCUGUGGGCACGACGAGGCGUUCCCAAAGAGCCCUGAUGAUCUCAUCCUGGGAAACCUUCAUCCCAGCAGUGCUCCCUGGAUGAUUCUCCAGUUUUGGACUGCUGGAUGAUUCUCCCUUUGCUCUGGCAUCCACCAGGAUGCCUUGGUUUGCAAAGACAGGUGUCUGCUAAAGAGGGGAGAUGGGGCAGUCGGAAUUCCAGGUGCUCCAGGUUUCUCUUGAACGAGAUCUCCAGGAUAACUUGUGCCGAUGGUGAAAUGUGGUGCCAGGUCACGUUGGCUGGGCCCCGAUGCAGCGUGGAAUUUGUUUUUCCCAUCAUGUGAGAGGGAGGAAACGUCCCGUCCAAGGAGGGCGAUGUCAGCUCGGACGCAAACGCGCUCGGCACGGAGGCACGAGGAGAGGGCUCGGCAACUUGAGAGCUUUCUGCACUGCCUCGUGCACAAAACCCUCUUGGAAGGACUCACAACAAACUGAGAGCUCACUGGAAACAUCUCCCUUGUUUGUUUUGGCUGCCAGAGCUUUUCUAAGUGCAAUUACCAGCAGUUGAGAAAUGGAGAGGGUGAAAGAAUCCUUGUGGUUCGUGCUCAGGAGACCUGGGUUGAUUUCUAACCUCUGUCACGGUGUCACAGCAGGAAAAAGAGAUUUAAUUCAUCUGCAGGUCGAUUUGUACAAACAGGGAUGGGGCUGCCCUGCAGCAGCAGCUCCUGGUACUGAGGUGAACCCUCAUGUCCUGCUGAUUUCAUGGAAUUCAGGCAGAUAUAUAUAUAAUUAUAUACCCAUUUUUAAAAGUUUCUGGGGCUCAUAUAUCAAUAUAUAACCCUCUCUUAACAGCACCACACUGCCUCAGAGGGGGAAAAUCCCCCAUUCCUGCACACAGCUGCACAUCCCUUUAAGCCAGAGGACAGGAAUGGAUUUGUGCCCUGCAAGGACCAACAUCUUCAUUAAGAUCCCUGUUUGCUGGGCAGUGACAAAUCUUUCCCUCAGAACACGAUGAUUAAGGUUUAAUUUUAUUCCGGAUUAUGGGCAGCUCCACUUGCAAAGCAGCGCUGGGCCAAGGUUGGGCACAUAUUGCCUGGAAAUGAACGUUCCUCCCCAAAGUGCUUAAGCAGCUUUGGAUAAGAAAAGAUGGUUUGGGGAAGAUUAGGAGCCUAAGAAAGAUCUCCAGGCUAAGAGGAAAGUGCCGUUGUGGGUUCAGGAAGAAAUGCUGAGGGUCUGAGGCUUCCAAAUUGCUUGGGAGAGUUGGAGGAAGAUGGUGGGAAAAGGAUAGAUUAGUGAAGGUGUUGGAUUUACAGAUGGGUGAAGACAGCCAUAAAUUAUAUGGGGAUGAGGUGGGGGUGUGUGUUUGUAAAUCAUCAGCAGGGAAAUUUCCAGGCUUCAGUUUGCUUAGAGAACCAAAUCUGCAUUUCUGGAGGUUUUAUGAUGUGGAACAUCACUUGAGAUGAAGUUUAGAUGUCAGCUUAAACACAGUGGGGAAUAAAAUCUGUCCUGCCCAGCACAAGAACUGAGUUUGGAAUAUGGACAGAGGGCUGCAGGAGAAGCAGAGGGAAAGGAGGAGAAGUCUCCUGGGGCUGGGAUACAAAUGUUUGUCCUGAUAUGCAGUUCCCUGCUCCUGCAGAUCCUCUCCCCUCUGCUUUUCCUCACAGGUACAGGUUUAUUCUGCCAGAGAAUGGUAUUUAAAUCCAAGCAGUGAUGAUUAUUUGUUCUCAAACACAUAUGUUCUUCCCUCCCCUGAGAGCAGGGGGAGGAGGACAGCGAUGAGAGCCGGCGAAUGUUUCACCCUCGCUGCAGUGACAGCUUUGAUUUGUGAAACAGCUUGGAAUAAAAUGCUGGUAAUUUUUCAUGGAAAAACCAAAGGACAUAAUUUGUGUGUGUCUCAAAGAGAGCAGCAGAGAUCUGAAAUGCCUGGACACACCAUUGUGUGAGUGCCAAAAUCCUGGAUGGAUAUAAAACUCAGUGUUUUCAACCCAGAGAAAUAACAUUACAAUCAUCCCUGGUUAAGCAGAUUCUGCUUGUUUAUUGUUUUCCAGUAUCUGCAGCUCUGCUCAUCAAUUUUUCACAUUAUUCCUUGGCUGUUCCCUCAUGUUCUGUCUCUUUGCUGGUUUGAUGUUUUGCUCUCUGGAGAUUUCUUCCAUAAAUUUUUAUUAUUUCCUCUGAGAAAUCUUUUUUUAUGAUUCCCAGUAAGAGCUGGGACUGUGAUAUGGUGGAGGGAGAGAAGAAAGCUGGGCAGUGGAAACUCCUUUAACUUAAUGCCAUGGAAAAACCCCUCUGGCUCCCUGUCAGCCAAAGAAGGUCAAAGGCAGUCCGAGCUGCAGCCAUGCCAAUGGAUCCUAAAUCCAGUAUUUAAUAUCGAUCUCCAGCUUCAUAAACACCACCCUGACAGUGCUGACAGCAGCCCUGACAUCAGCAUGAUGACACAGGGCACAAAAAUGACUUCACACUGCCAGCUCUGCUCCCAGCCAGCAUGGGAACAACGCUGGGAAAGAGCUUUUGUUUAAUUAGUUAUUGGUAAUGAGGUCUGGUUAAAGGGUGAGGUGGGACUGAGGGAGCAAAGCUGGGCUGGCUCAGUGCUUGGGCCAGGGGAUGUUUGACAGUGCUGGUGCAGGGGGUCAAAGCAGGGGUUUAAAGAAGAUUUUGGGCUCACCUUGGCUGUGGGAAGAGGUUUUCCAGGCACUUCCGACGCCAGCCCAUCACUCAGGUGGUUGGAGAUGGAGCUGGAGCUGAUCUUCAGCUUUGGAAGAGGAUUUUGGAGAUUCAUCUUCAGUUUUCAAAGAGAUUUCUUGAGAUUUAUUUUCAGCUUUGAGGGAGAAUUUUGGAAGUCUCUGUGAUUUUGGAAAUCUCUGUGAUCUGGAUGAGCCCUACCCUACCCAGGGGAACAGGAAGGUUCCCAAGGAGCAGAGUCAGAACCUUGGUGCUGCAAUCACAUGGAAAUCAUAUGGAAAUCACAGACUUAGACAUUCCCAAAAUUGCUGGACACAUCACCACCAGCCCAUCACUCCAGUGAUAAACCAAAAUCUCCAGCUCUGGAGCUGAUCUUCAGCUUUUGGGGAGGUUUUCGGAGAUUCUUUUUCAGUUUUAGAGAACAUUUACAGAGAUUUAGCUUCAGCUUUGCAGAACAUUUUGGAAAUCCACCUGUGAUCUGGCUGAACCCAACCCUACACUGGGGAACAGGAGGGUUCCCAAGGAGCAGAGCUGGGGCUGAAAUCACAUGGAAAGCCAGACUUAGACAUUCCCAAAAUUGCUGGGCACAUCCCUCUGAAGAAUGAUGGACGUGGGGUGUGCUGCCAUCACUGCCCUGCCAGUGCCAAGCCCGUGGAUGUCCUUUCUGAAUUUGAUUAAAAUCUAGAACCACCACCAUCAUUAAAUCAUCCAAAGCUCAACAGAAAUAUUUAGGGAAAGGGAAUGUUCCAAGAGACCUCAAUGGGAUUCAGGGAAAUGGUUCUGAGCUGACAAGAAUUCACAGGGUAACUCCUUUUUUCAUAAAAUGAAGAGAGCAGGGAGAGAACCAUUCAAACUUGACCAAAUUAAUUUUUACCUACCCCAGUGAUCCCCACCUUCACUCCAUCCAUGAAAAUCUGUGCCCACAGAAUGAAAAUAAAGCCAAUCCAAUGGGAGCAGCAUGAGCCAGCAUUUGGGAUUGUGUAAAUAGAGCACUGAGGUGGCAUCACUGGGGCAGCAGGGAUUUAUACCAGCUGAGGAUCUGGCCCAUGAAGUGGGAAUAACUCUUUCUGCCCUGUGAUUUAUGCUCUCCAGUUAUUGACUGCUCCAAAAUAAGCCUCUGUUAUAAACAAUCCGGGCAGCAAAGAAGGCAAUUGUGCCUUAAUGAGCCCAUGGUUCAAAGCACUGCCCUGCUGCAUUGACCCUUCUAUAGAUCAGAAAGUCUCCUUGAUUUAAUUACCUCACAGAACCCCAGACUAGACAGCUCCAAACCUCAUUUAUGCCCUGAUCUUGCUAUUUUUUUUUAUUUUGGUGCACUCUAUAGUGAUUUACAAUUCAGCCAAGGGACUCUUCAGGCGGCCGAGGAGAAUUGUUUAGAGGGGUUUGUGUGCAAUUAC